Molecule: unclassified non-coding RNA, 148 nt
Organism: Papio anubis (olive baboon)
Lineage: Eukaryota; Metazoa; Chordata; Mammalia; Primates; Cercopithecidae
Rfam family: Metazoan signal recognition particle RNA
About the family: The signal recognition particle (SRP) is a universally conserved ribonucleoprotein. It is involved in the co-translational targeting of proteins to membranes. The eukaryotic SRP consists of a 300-nucleotide 7S RNA and six proteins: SRPs 72, 68, 54, 19, 14, and 9.
Source: Ensembl
GCCGGGCAUGGUGGUGGGUGCCUGUAAUCCCAGCUACUCAGGAGGCUGAGGCAGGAGAAUUACUUGAACCCGGGAAGUGGAGGCUGCAGUGAGCUGAGAUUGUGCCACUGCACCCCAGCCUGGGUGACAGAGUGAAACUCUGUCUCAA